RNAcentral lists this unclassified non-coding RNA (347 nucleotides) under soil metagenome. RNAcentral describes it as "partial contains 5.8S ribosomal RNA, internal transcribed spacer 2, and large subunit ribosomal RNA". The stretch from base 1 to 120 matches the Rfam family "5.8S ribosomal RNA", at positions 35 to 154 of the family's 154-position model. The record is from RNAcentral.
GAUGAAGAACGCAGUGAAAUGCGAUAAUUAAUGUGAAUUGCAGAAUUCAGUGAAUCAUCGAGUCUUUGAACGCACAUUGCGCCCCCUGGUAUUCCGGGGGGCAUGUCUGUCCGAGCGUCAUUGCUGCCCUCAAGCACGGCUUGUGUGUUGGGCUUCCGUCCCUGGCAACGGGGACGGGCCCAAAAGGCAGUGGCGGCACCAUGUCUGGUCCUCGAGCGUAUGGGGCUUUGUCACCCGCUCCCGUAGGUCCAGCUGGCAGCUAGCCUCGCAACCAAUCUUUUUAACCAGGUUGACCUCGGAUCAGGUAGGGAUACCCGCUGAACUUAAGCAUAUCAAUCAGCGGAGGA